GACGAACGCUGGCGGCGUGCCUAAUACAUGCAAGUCGAACGCUGAAGGAGGAGCUUGCUUCUCUGGAUGAGUUGCGAACGGGUGAGUAACGCGUAGGUAACCUGCCUGGUAGCGGGGGAUAACUAUUGGAAACGAUAGCUAAUACCGCAUAAUAGUAGAUGUUGCAUGACAUUUGCUUAAAAGGUGCAAUUGCAUCACUACCAGAUGGACCUGCGUUGUAUUAGCUAGUUGGUGGGGUAACGGCUCACCAAGGCGACGAUACAUAGCCGACCUGAGAGGGUGAUCGGCCAAACUGGGACUGAGACACGGCCCAGACUCCUACGGGAGGCAGCAGUAGGGAAUCUUCGGCAAUGGACGGAAGUCUGACCGAGCAACGCCGCGGGAGUGAAGAAGGGUUUCGGAUCGUAAAGCUCUGUUGUAAGAGAAGAACGAGUGUGAGAGUGGAAAGUUCACACUGUGACGGUAUCUUACCAGAAAGGGACGGCUAACUACGUG
This 495-nucleotide ribosomal RNA is filed under the name uncultured bacterium. RNAcentral's name for it is "partial 16S ribosomal RNA". It matches the Rfam family "Bacterial small subunit ribosomal RNA", at positions 28 to 507 of the family's 1533-position model. The record is from RNAcentral.